Molecule: ribosomal RNA, 579 nt
Filed under: Papiliotrema laurentii
Lineage: Eukaryota; Fungi; Basidiomycota; Tremellomycetes; Tremellales; Rhynchogastremaceae
Description: partial large subunit ribosomal RNA
Rfam family: Eukaryotic large subunit ribosomal RNA
Source: RNAcentral
AAACUAACAAGGAUUCCCCUAGUAACGGCGAGUGAACCGGGAAGAGCUCAAAUUUGAAAUCUGGCGUCCUCAGGGCGUCCGAGUUGUAAUCUAUAGAGGCGUUUUCCGUGCCGGACCGUGUCCAAGUUCCUUGGAACAGGAUAUCAAAGAGGGUGACAAUCCCGUACUUGACACGACGACCGGUGCUCUGUGAUACGUCUUCUACGAGUCGAGUUGUUUGGGAAUGCAGCUCAAAAUGGGUGGUGAGUUCCAUCUAAAGCUAAAUAUUGGCGAGAGACCGAUAGCGAACAAGUACCGUGAGGGAAAGAUGAAAAGCACUUUGGAAAGAGAGUUAAACAGUACGUGAAAUUGUUGAAAGGGAAACGAUUGAAGUCAGUCGUGACCGAGAGGCUCAGCCGGUUCUGCCGGUGUAUUCCCCUCGGUCGGGUCAACAUCAGUUUUGUCCGGUGGAUAAGGGCGGUAGGAAGGUGGCACCCUCGGGUGUGUUAUAGCCUGCCGUCGCAUACAUCGGGUGAGACUGAGGAACGCAGCUCGCCUUUAUGGCCGGGGUUCGCCCACGUCCGAGCUUAGGAUGUUGAC